Molecule: ribosomal RNA, 540 nt
Filed under: uncultured bacterium
Lineage: Bacteria
Description: bacterial SSU rRNA
Rfam family: Bacterial small subunit ribosomal RNA
Source: RNAcentral
AGGUAAUAGAUACCCGGGUAGUCCACGCCGUAAACGAUGAAUACUAGGUGUAGGAGGUAUCAACUCCUUCUGUGCCGCAGUUAAACACAAUAAGUAUUCCGCCUGGGAAGUACGAUCGCAAGAUUAAAACUCAAAGGAAUUGACGGGGGCCCGCACAAGCAGCGGAGCAUGUGGUUUAAUUCGAAGCAACGCGAAGAACCUUACCUAGACUUGACAUCCCCUGAAUUACCUGUAAUGAGGGAAGUCCCUUCGGGGACAGGGAGACAGGUGGUGCAUGGUUGUCGUCAGCUCGUGUCGUGAGAUGUUGGGUUAAGUCCCGCAACGAGCGCAACCCUUAUCAUUAGUUGCUACCAUUAAGUUGAGCACUCUAAUGAGACUGCCCGGGUUAACCGGGAGGAAGGUGGGGAUGACGUCAAAUCAUCAUGCCCCUUAUGUCUAGGGCCACACACGUGCUACAAUGGUGAGUACAACGAGAUGCGAACCCGCGAGGGGAGCUAAACUCAAAAACUCAUCUCAGUUCGGAUUGCAGGCUGCAACUCG